AAGCUCGUAGUUGAAUUUCGGGGUUCUACCGUUGGUCGGGCAAUAGUCUGUACUGGCGUGUAGAAUUUCUACCUUCUGGGGAACCAUCAUGUUAUUUAUUUAGUGUGGUGGGAAACCAGAACCUUUACCUUGAAAAAAUUAGAGUAUUCAAAGCAGGCUUACGUCUGAAUACAUUAGCAUGGAAUAAUAAAAUAGGACGGUGGUCCUGUUUUGUUGGUUUCUGCAUCACCGUAAUGAUUAAUAGGGAUAGUUGGG
This 255-nucleotide ribosomal RNA is filed under the name uncultured Gigaspora. Its description in RNAcentral is "partial 18S ribosomal RNA". It matches the Rfam family "Eukaryotic small subunit ribosomal RNA", at positions 624 to 886 of the family's 1831-position model. Lineage: Eukaryota; Fungi; Glomeromycota; Glomeromycetes; Diversisporales; Gigasporaceae. The record is from RNAcentral.